RNAcentral lists this long non-coding RNA (913 nucleotides) under Marmota monax (woodchuck). The record is from RNAcentral. Lineage: Eukaryota; Metazoa; Chordata; Mammalia; Rodentia; Sciuridae.
AAUUUAUAUUACAUAUAUAGAGCACAAUUUUUCACAUCUCUGGUUGUAUACAAAGUAUGUUGACACCAAUUCGUGUCUUCAUACAUGUACUUUGGAUAAUGAUGUCCAUCACAUUCCACCAUCCUUGCUAAUCCCCUGUCCCCUCCCUUUGCCUCUCACCCCUCUGCCCUAUCUAGAGUUUGUCUAUUCUUCCCACGCUCCCCCUCCCUACCCCGCUAUGAACCAUCAGCCUCCUUAUAUCAGAAAACAUUUGGCAUUUGGGCUUUUGGGAUUGGUUAACUUCACUUAGCACUAUCUUCUCUAACUCCCUCCAUUUACCUGCAAAUACCAUGAUUUUAUUCUUUUAUUGCUGAGUAAUAUUCCAUUGUGUAUAUAUGCCACAUUUUUUUUAUCCAUUCAUCUAUUGAAGGGCAUCUAGGUUGGUUCCACAGUUUAUCUAUUGUGAAUUGUGCUGCUAUAAACAUUGAUAUGGCUGUGUCCUUGUAGUAUGCUGUUUUUAAGACUGAGGAGAGGGAUAGCUGGGUCAAAUGGUGGUUCCAUUCCCAAUUUUCCAAGAAAUGUCCAUACUACUUUCCAUAUUGGCUGCACCAAUUUGCAGUCCCACCAGCAGUGUAUGAGUAUACCUUUCCCCCCACAUCCUUGCCAAUACUUAUAGUUGUUUGUAUGCAUAAUAGCUGCCAUUCUGACUGGAGUGAGAUGAAAUCUUAGAGUAGUUUUGAAUUGCAUUUCUCUGAUUACUAGUGAUAAUGAACUUUUUUUCAUUUAUUUGUUGAUUGAUUGUAUAUCCUCUUUUGAGAAGUGUCUGUUCAGGUCCUUGGCCCAUUUAUUUUGGUGCUUAGCUUUUUGAGUUCUUUAUAUACCCUAGAGAUUAGUGCUCUAUCUGAUGUGUGAGGGGUAAAGAUUUGCUCCCAAG